RNAcentral lists this ribosomal RNA (497 nucleotides) under uncultured bacterium. RNAcentral describes it as "partial 16S ribosomal RNA". It matches the Rfam family "Bacterial small subunit ribosomal RNA", at positions 28 to 507 of the family's 1533-position model. The record is from RNAcentral.
GAUGAACGCUGGCGGCGUGCCUAAUACAUGCAAGUCGAGCGAACAGACGAGGAUCUUGCUCCUCUGACGUUAGCGGCGGACGGGUGAGUAACACGUGUAUAACCUACCUAUAAGACUGGGAUAACUUCGGGAAACCGGAGCUAAUACCGGAUAAUAUAUUGAACCGCAUGGUUCAAUAGUGAAAGACGGUUUUGCUGUCACUUAUAGAUGGAUCCGCGCCGCAUUAGCUAGUUGGUAAGGUAACGGCUUACCAAGGCAACGAUGCGUAGCCGACCUGAGAGGGUGAUAGGCCACACUGGAACUGAGACACGGUCCAGACUCCUACGGGAGGCAGCAGUAGGGAAUCUUCCGCAAUAGGCGAAAGCCUGACGGAGCAACGCCGAGUGAGUGAUGAAGGUCUUCGGAUCGUAAAACUCUGUUAUUAGGGAAGAACAAAUGUGUAAGUAACUAUGCACGUCUUGACGGUACCUAAUCAGAAAGCCACGGCUAACUACGUG